CCCCAAAACGGGGUCGCCCCCCCCAAAAUGGGGUUAACCCCCUACCCCCCCCGCAUGUGUCCCCUGAAAUUGAGGGGGGGGCUGUGGCGCAUGCCUGGGUUCCCCCCCGGACCCCUCGGGGCUCGAAUGUGGGUCACACUCUGGGGGGGGUGCAGAUGCUGCCCCCCCACCCCUAAAUUGGGGGGCCGGGGGGAGGGGGGGAAUGGGUCCUCUCCGGUGACCCCCCCCCACACCCGUGUCCCCCCAAAAGGCCACAGGAGGCGGAGGAUGUGCAGCCCCCACCCCCCGAGCACAGCACAGAGCCUGACCCUGCCCCAACGCCCCCCCCGGAUGCGGAGCAGCCCCCAGCACAGGGCGCCGAGGACGAGGCGGUGGCGCGGGAGCUGGAGCAGCUCUACCUGUCCCACCUGCGCCGGCUGCGGGGGGACCCCGGCGACAGCGACCCCCCCCCGAGAAACGGGGGGCCCCCAUUCCCCGAGAGAGCCCCCAACACCUCGCUGGCCAACGAGAUGGCCCUGCGCUACGAGGGGGGGGGUCGGUGCAGCCCCCCGGUGCUGCUGGGGAGGGGGGGGCCGGUGGAGGGGGCGCUGGUGGUGCCGGCGCGGCCCCCCCGGGGGAGGGGGAGCAGUUUGGGGGGGGCCCUGAGGGGGUGCGGGGUGGUCUUGGCCUUGGCCGUGCUGGUGCCGGUGGCCUGGGGGGACGGGGGGGGCCCCACGGCCGCGCUGGCCCUGGGGCUUUACCUGGCACUGGCCUGGCUCACGUGAGGGGGGUGGGGGGGGGGAGCCCCGAUUGUCACCACCCCAAAAAUUGUCACCUCCCAAAAAGUCACAGCCCCCCCACACACCAUUCCACCUUAGAAAACGUGGGACACCCCUAAAUCAAUCUGGGGGUGGGGGGCGGGCGGUCAAGGGAACCCCCUAAAUGGAAGGGCACCCCCAAAUGGAAGGGCACCCCCAAAUGGAAGGGCACCCCCAAAUUGCCCCCCCACCCCACCCCGGGGUGGGGGCACUGUCACUUUGUGGGACAUCCUCCCCCUCCCUCCCCCCCGAGUCAUGUGCACUCCACGCGGGUUUUGGGGCGCCCCUGUGUACAUACAGCCAUGGAACGAUGGUG
Long non-coding RNA from Onychostruthus taczanowskii (white-rumped snowfinch), 1113 nucleotides. RefSeq lists it as uncharacterized. The record is from RefSeq and is a predicted model, not a curated record. Lineage: Eukaryota; Metazoa; Chordata; Aves; Passeriformes; Passeridae. The transcript is spliced from 3 exons.